CGGGGGCACGGGGGGCCUACGGGAGGCAGCAGUGGGGAAUUUUGCGCAAUGGACGAAAGUCUGACGCAGCGACGCCGCGUGAGCGAUGAAGGCCUUCGGGUUGUAAAGCUUCUGUGGAAGGGGACGAAUAAACCAGUGUUAACAGUACUGGCGAUGACGGUACCCUUUUAGCAAGCACCGGCUAACU
RNAcentral lists this ribosomal RNA (187 nucleotides) under uncultured bacterium. RNAcentral describes it as "partial 16S ribosomal RNA". It matches the Rfam family "Bacterial small subunit ribosomal RNA", at positions 319 to 502 of the family's 1533-position model. The record is from RNAcentral.